CAUGUCUUUUUGAUAAUAAUUUAAAGUUUAAUCUGCUCAAUGAUUUUAAAUAGCCGCAGUAUUUUAACUGUGCAAAGGUAGCAUAAUAAUUAGUUCUUUAAAUGGGGGAUUGUAUGAAUGAUUGGACGAGAAAAUUUCUGUCUUAAGUAAAUUGAUUUUUGAAUUUUAUUUUUAAGUUAAAAAGCUUAAAUAAUUUUAAAAGACGAGAAGACCCUAUAGAGUUUAAUAUUUUAAGUUUUUUUAAUUUUAGAAAUUAAGAAAUUUUUAAUUUAUUUAGUUGGGGUGACUUGAAGAUUAAAAAAAUUCUUUAAAUAGAAAUUAAUGAUAUUUAAAUUUCGAGUUUAUAAGUUAAAAACAAAUUACCUUAGGGAUAACAGCGUAAUAUUUCUUUAGAGCUCUUAUUUGAAGAAAUUUUUGCGACCUCGAUGUUGGAUUAAAAUUUAUUUUUGGAGUAGUAGCUUAAAAAUUAGGUCUGUUCGACCUUUAAAAUUUUACAUGAUCUGAGUUUAGACCGGCGUGAGCCAGGUUGGAUUCUAUCUUUACAUAAAUUUUUUAUUUUAGUACGAAAGGACCAAAUAAAAUUUAUAUUUA
RNAcentral lists this ribosomal RNA (591 nucleotides) under Scarelus flavicollis. Its description in RNAcentral is "partial 16S ribosomal RNA". It matches the Rfam family "Bacterial large subunit ribosomal RNA", at positions 1816 to 2711 of the family's 2925-position model. The record is from RNAcentral. Lineage: Eukaryota; Metazoa; Arthropoda; Insecta; Coleoptera; Lycidae.